GACGAACGCUGGCGGCGUGCUUAACACAUGCAAGUCGAACGGAAAGGCCUGCUUUCCCUUGUGGAUUGCGGGUACUCGAGUGGCGAACGGGUGAGUAACACGUGAGUGAUCUGCCCCCAACUUGGGUAUAAGCCUGGGAAACUGGGUCUAAUUCCCGAUAGGACUGCAGGGUGGUGCCUGUGGUGGAAAACGAUUUUCUAGUGGUUGGGGAUGAGCUCGCGGCCUACCAGCUUGUUGGUGGGGUAAUGGCCUACCAAGGCGGCGACGGGUAGCCGGCCUGAGAGGGUGGACGGCCACAUUGGGACUGAGAUACGGCCCAGACUCCUACGGGAGGCAGCAGUGGGGAAUAUUGCACAAUGGGCGGAAGCCUGAUGCAGCGACGCCGCGUGGGGGAUGACGGCCUUCGGGUUGUAAACUCCUUUCGACCGCGAGGAAGCCACCUGGUUGGAAGGGUGGUGACGGUAGUGGUAGAAGAAGCACCGGCUAACUACGU
This 493-nucleotide ribosomal RNA is filed under the name uncultured bacterium. Its description in RNAcentral is "partial 16S ribosomal RNA". It matches the Rfam family "Bacterial small subunit ribosomal RNA", at positions 28 to 506 of the family's 1533-position model. The record is from RNAcentral.